CUGACCUAAGUGCAUCUCAGCCUUUUCCAGGUAGACAUCCUGGAAACCUUUCAGCAAAACAGUGAUUUCUCAAAGACUGUUGACCUGUUCAACCUGAAAUAUUUCAUCUGAAAUAUAAUGAGCUCAGUGAAUCUUGGAUGAACGAGAAGCAGGGUUUCCAAAAUGCUUCCAGGAUCUGGAGCACCAGGACAGAGACAGAGUAAAACCAGCUCAAAUAAUUUUAUCGUAAUGCACAUUAUUUUCUGUUAUUGAUUUGUCAUUUAAAAGAGGACUUACUCAUAAGUAAAGGGAGAAGUUGGGUGGCAGUUUGUAAAAGAAAUCAUUUAAAUUUCCAAUCCUAUGCUGGAGGAAAGUAUGUGCUUUUUAUCCUCUAAUUGUUACAGUUUAUAUUCUUAAUCCCAGCCAUUUUUCUUUUGUAAGAGUUUUGUUCAUAUACUUGAAUCCAUCAGUUGGAGGAUUAAGGUUGUUUCUCAACUGCCUUUUCUUAAAUCAGAUUAUAAAAAAAAAACAAACAAAAAAAAACACCUAUGCCAUUAGUGUCAAAUGAAAAGCAGCCAUGCUCUUGCACUUGCAGUAAGAGAGCAGUUUAUGUGAGCUGAACAUUUUUCCUAAUUAAUGAGAAUAUAAUUUCUGGAAGUAUCCUGCUCUUAGCUCUGUAGUUACAGUGGUACCAUACUGUUGCAAAAGGCCAAUAUGGGGAUUUCUCAACAAGCGUCUCUGCUAGCUGUUCUGUUCUGGGGCCUUUCUGGGCCGAAGCACUCUGGGGCUGUGACGCACGUCCAGGCUUAGUAGAGCUGAGCUGCAAUCCCAAGCUUAAUGCAACUGGCAUCAGAGUCUGAUCAGCUUGGCAGAACGUGGAUGUCCACCUGGGCUGCACAGCUCAACCCACACAGACCUACAACUUUGCAAGAGUAUGAGAAACAACAACAGCAAAGCAGACUUUGCAAGAUUUCCCCCAUGCAUGUCAGUCCUUCAGCUGACUUUUCAUUAUACUUGGCCAGUGGUGCAGAAAGGCCCCUUCCAACCCAAACUGUCCUGAGAUUCAGUGAUGGGUCAGCCUGGGAUGGAGCCACCGAUUUGGAAGUUGUUGUGUAUGACUAUCACUGGAAAUUGAAUCGUGAAAUCCAGAGGGAACUGAUCCUCUCAGAUCCUCCAGCGCGGUGCUUGCUUAGAGUCCGCCUGAAGCAUGCACGGAUCCAGAUUUGUGCCUCUUCUCUCCCCACUUCCUUACACCAUGUCAACAUUACCUAGAAAACAUACAGAACAAGAAGGGAAAAAAACAAAUGUAGAACAUCCCAAAGACAUCGUGAAGUGCUGUCUGCUGAAAGUGAAACGGAGAUUGGAUUCAUGAAGUGGAUUAAACCAAUAAAUAUGAUUGCUUCUUUGGAGGCUACA
This 1395-nucleotide long non-coding RNA is filed under the name Anas platyrhynchos platyrhynchos (common mallard). Its description in RNAcentral is "lncRNA (ENSAPLG00000028705.1)". The record is from RNAcentral. Lineage: Eukaryota; Metazoa; Chordata; Aves; Anseriformes; Anatidae.